RNAcentral lists this ribosomal RNA (254 nucleotides) under uncultured bacterium. RNAcentral describes it as "partial 16S ribosomal RNA". It matches the Rfam family "Bacterial small subunit ribosomal RNA", at positions 524 to 776 of the family's 1533-position model. The record is from RNAcentral.
UACGGAGGGUGCGAGCGUUGUCCGGAAUCACUGGGCGUAAAGGGCGCGUAGGCGGUCCCUUAAGCGUGUGGUGAAAGCCCACGGCUCAACCAUGGAAGUGCAUCCGAAACUGCUGAGCUUGAGUACUUAAGAGGAUCGCGGAAUUCCCGGUGUAGAGGUGAAAUUCGUAGAUAUCGGGAGGAACACCAGUGGCGAAGGCGGCGAUCUGGGAAGAUACUGACGCUGAGGUGCGAAAGCGUGGGGGAGCAAACAGG